GGCGUAUAGUGACGGUACCAGUCUGAAGCCCCGGCUAAUUACGUGCCAGCAGCCGCGGUAAUACGUAUGGGGCAAGCGUUGUUCGGAAUUAUUGGGCGUAAAGGGCUCGCAGGUGGUUUGUUAAGUUGGUGGUUUAAUCUCUGGGCUCAACCCAGAGUCAGCCAUCAAAACUGGCGAACUUGAGUACGAUAGGGGAUAGCGGAAUUCUCGGUGUAGCGGUGGAAUGCGUAGAUAUCGAGAGGAACACCAAUGGCGAAGGCAGCUAUCUGGAUCGUAACUGACACUCAUGAGCGAAAGUGCGGGGAGCAAACAGGAUUAGAUACCCUGGUAGUCCGCACCGUAAACGUUGUAUACUAGUUGUUGGUGGUUUCAACGCCAUCAGUGACGUCGCUAACGCAUUAAGUAUACCGCCUGGGGAGUAUGCUCGCAAGGGUGAAACUCAAAGAAAUUGACGGGGGCCCGCACAAGCGGUGGAGCAUGUGGUUUAAUUCGACGAUACGCGAGAAACCUUACCUGGGUUUGACAUGGAUUUGACUGGGGUAGAGAUACCCCUUCCCGCAAGGGCAGAUUCACAGGUGUUGCAUGGUCGUCGUCAGCUCGUGUUGUGAGAUGUUGGGUUAAGUCCCGCAACGAGCGCAACCCCUAUCUUCUGUUGCCAUCAUUAAGUUGGGCACUCUGAAGAAACCGCCGGUGACAAACCGGAGGAAGGUGGGGAUGACGUCAGAUCAGCAUGGCCCUUAUAUCCAGGGCUACACACGUGCUACAAUGGCCGGUACAGAGGGACGCAAUGCCGCGAGGUGGAGCAAAUCCCACAAAGCCGGUCUCAGUUCAGAUUGCAGUCUGCAACUCGACUGCAUGAAGUC
RNAcentral lists this ribosomal RNA (863 nucleotides) under uncultured bacterium. Its description in RNAcentral is "bacterial SSU rRNA". It matches the Rfam family "Bacterial small subunit ribosomal RNA", at positions 461 to 1327 of the family's 1533-position model. The record is from RNAcentral.